Molecule: small RNA, 98 nt
Filed under: Arabidopsis thaliana (thale cress)
Lineage: Eukaryota; Viridiplantae; Streptophyta; Magnoliopsida; Brassicales; Brassicaceae
Description: ATSL034210
Source: RNAcentral
ACUAACCAAGCUUCUUCUUGGUUUUCAAAGCUUUGAUGGUGUAGUCAAAGUCCAUAUGAGUCUUUGGCUUUCUAUCUUCUAACAAGGAAACAUUACUU